AACGAACGCUGGCGGCAUGCCUAACACAUGCAAGUCGAACGAGACCUUCAGGUCUAGUGGCGCACGGGUGCGUAACGCGUGGGAACCUGCCCUUAGGUUCGGAAUAACUCCCCGAAAGGGGUGCUAAUACCGGAUAAUGUCUUCGGACCAAAGAUUUAUCGCCUUUGGAUGGGCCCGCGUUGGAUUAGCUAGUUGGUAGGGUAAAAGCCUACCAAGGCGACGAUCCAUAGCUGGUCUGAGAGGAUGAUCAGCCACACUGGGACUGAGACACGGCCCAGACUCCUACGGGAGGCAGCAGUGGGGAAUAUUGGACAAUGGGCGAAAGCCUGAUCCAGCAAUGCCGCGUGAGUGAUGAAGGCCUUAGGGUUGUAAAGCUCUUUUACCCGGGAUGAUAAUGACAGUACCGGGAGAAUAAGCGCCGGCUAACUCCGUG
RNAcentral lists this ribosomal RNA (433 nucleotides) under uncultured bacterium. RNAcentral's name for it is "partial 16S ribosomal RNA". It matches the Rfam family "Bacterial small subunit ribosomal RNA", at positions 29 to 507 of the family's 1533-position model. The record is from RNAcentral.